This 102-nucleotide ribosomal RNA is filed under the name Hucho hucho (huchen). The record is from RNAcentral. Lineage: Eukaryota; Metazoa; Chordata; Actinopteri; Salmoniformes; Salmonidae.
UGCAGCAGCAUACCACCCUGCAUCCCACUACUGGCUUGCUUCUGAAGCUAAGCAGAGUUGGUCCUGGUUGUUCCCUGGAUGGAAGACCAGGUGCUGCUGGAA